Molecule: ribosomal RNA, 468 nt
Filed under: uncultured bacterium
Lineage: Bacteria
Description: partial 16S ribosomal RNA
Rfam family: Bacterial small subunit ribosomal RNA
Source: RNAcentral
GACGAACGCUGGCGGCGUGCUUAACACAUGCAAGUCGAACGGAAAGACCCUGCUUUUGUGUGUUUCUCGAUUGGCGAGCAGGUGAGUAACACGUGAGUAACCUGUCCUUGUCUUUGUGAUAACUUUACGGAACUGGGGCUAAUACCCCGUAUGAUCUCCUGCACCAUAUUGUUCAUUGGUAAAUUUCGGCGGUUGGGUAUGGACUCGCUGCUUACCCGCUUGUUUGUGGGGUAGUUACUUACCAAGGCUUUGACGGGUAGCCGGCCUGAGAGGGUUGCCGGCCACCUUGGGACUGAGAUACGGCGCAGAAGCGUACGGGAGGCAGCAGUGGGGAAUAUUGCACAAUGGGCGGAAGCCUGAUGUAGAGACGUAGCGUGCGGGAUAACGGCCUUCGGGGUGUAAACAGAUUUCGAAUGUGACGAAGCGUGAGUGACGGUAAUGGGUAAAGAAGCCCCGGCUAACUACGUG